Molecule: non-coding RNA, 1258 nt
Organism: Pelodiscus sinensis (Chinese soft-shelled turtle)
Lineage: Eukaryota; Metazoa; Chordata; Testudines; Trionychidae
Source: RefSeq, a predicted model, not a curated record
UCUAAGCAUGUGACUUGGGUUCACUCCUGCUUCCUGAAAAGGGGAUGCUCACUCCACCAGGCUCCUGAUCCAAACAGCUCAGCAUUUUGGGGGAGGUCUGGGCACAGGAGGAGCUCUGCAGCUAUUGGCCAGCCAGUUUAAGGGUAGUGGAUUUGUGAUUACCCUCCAUCUAAGCAAAAAGCAAUCCCGCUUCUCCUUCUGGAAAAGGAGGGUAAGCAAAUGAAGCAGGUUCCACCGCAGGAGUCUAUGCCAGGGACCCUCAAUUCAGAAAUGGAUGAUAAACCUCUUCCUCCCAAGGAUCACAUCCCCAAGGAUCACGUCCAGUUUCUGCCCAAAAGGAAAAAGAAAAAGAAAAAGAACGAAGCAGUAACAGAACGCAGCGAAAAUCUGGGGAAAUGUCUUCGUUAGCUGUUAGCGAAACCGGAUUGUAGACACGAUGAAAGGAACCUACACGAAGACAAUUAGACUAAAUUAUGUCCAGUUACAGAAGACAAGUUAACAGUGAAAUGUGGGGCAGUCCGACUCCAGCCAGGCUCAGGGUCUGGCUUACCCCACUGCUGUCACUCAUACAUCACAGAUCAAGGGCAGCCCCUGUAGGCUGUUUUAAACGAGGGCCAGCAGGAGGUUGGGCUAAUGAGUAAAAUCUGAACAUUCCUCAAAUUUCCCAUCCAUCCCGGGCGAAGGGGAGGGCUGGGGGGAGCUGAAACAAAGCGUCUCUUUCUGGAGUGGUUUGGGUCCUAGCAGGGACAAAAUGCUUUUUGCUGAUACUACUGGGGAGGGUGUGUAGAGUGGGCUUAAAGAAUUCCAGGGCCAGAUCCUCAGUGAGUUUGGCAUAGCUAAUCCAGCAUUGGUUGGUACUGCUUUGAAAUGAAAAUAUUCUGGAGGGAAGGGGAGAUGAAAAGCUCCCCCGCACAGGUAUCCCCGGCCCUCCAUCAUGACUGUAAUGAAACUGAGCAAAUAAUUAAGAGGCAAUAUGGUUGCUCCCUAUGGCUGCAGCCGUGUCCCCUGGGGAUGGAAGGUAUAUCAACCAAGGCUUUCUUGUCUGAGUAACCCUGGAAACUAGCCCUGGCGUAUCAAAAACUGAGGCUACUGUGGAUCCCAAGCAGAGGCAAAGGGCUAUUCGGGGCAAUAUCAGGCCUUUUCAGCAUCCCUGAAAGCGGCCCCGGACCCCUACUAGGGCAUUAUUCGUCUGAACAUGACUUACUCCAGGGAGAGAUUUGUUCAAAGCCAGAGCCUGAGCCAUGACCAAACCAAUAAA